MicroRNA precursor from Bison bison bison, 69 nucleotides. The record is from Ensembl. NCBI's taxonomy places the organism in Eukaryota, Metazoa, Chordata, Mammalia, Artiodactyla, Bovidae.
CAACCAAAGAUUUCACAUGCUGUACAGCCGAUUAACUUUGUUAGAGAGCAUGUGGAAUUUUUAGUUGCU